Molecule: long non-coding RNA, 769 nt
Filed under: Nicotiana benthamiana
Lineage: Eukaryota; Viridiplantae; Streptophyta; Magnoliopsida; Solanales; Solanaceae
Description: long non-coding RNA (NBEN_LNC027083)
Source: RNAcentral
CGGAGAUGAGAAUGCUCAGGUGGAUGUGCGGGCUCACCAGGAUAGAUAAGAUUAAGAAUGAAGUUAUUCGAGAGAGGGCGAGGGAGGCCCCGGUGGAUGAGAAGAUGCGAGAAGCGAGGCUGAGGUGGUUCUGGCAUGUGCGGGGGAGAAGUCCUGAUGCCCCGGUGAGGAGUUGUGAACGGCUGGCGAUGGUCGGCGUUCGACGAGGCAGAAGGAGGCCUAAGAGGUGUUGGGGGAGGUGAUUAGGCAUGACAUGGCUAGAAUGCCGGUUUCCGAGGACAUGACCCUUGAUAGGGAAGUCUGGAGGUCUAGUAUCAGGGUUGUAGGAUAUGGGCUCCUAGAGUUUUCCCCGGUGGAUGAGAAGAUGCGAGAAGCGAGGCUGAGGUGGUUCGGGCAUGUGCGGAGAUGCCCCGGUGAGGAGUUGUGAACGGCUGGCGAUGGUCGGCGUUCGACGAGGCAGAGGGAGGCCUAAGAGGUAUUGGAGAGAGGUGAUUAGGCAUGUCAUGGCUAGAAUGCGGGUUUUCGAGGACAUGACUCUUGAUAGGAAAGUCUGGAGGUCUAGUAUCAGGGUUGUAGGAUAGGAGCCCCUAGAGUUUUCGUACUGCUCACCGGGGGUUGGGUGAGGUUUGGCAGGGUUAUCCAUAAAUGAUUUGUGUUUUGGAUUGUGUUUCCCCUAUGGUAGUUAUUUAUGAUAGUUACUGUAUGUUAUUAUUGCAUGCUAUUUUAUUUAUGAUUCUUAUGUUUAGAUAAUUAUUUACGCUAUUUCNNN